CUUCCCAUUAGGACUCUGAGCUCCAGAAGGCCAGCGUCCGUGCUUAUCUUGCUCAUCAUUUUACCCAAAGUGUCUAGCCUUGUACUAAAUGUUCACUGGAAGAAAUAAUGAAGUUUGCUCACACAUUCAUAAACAUGUACGUGUAUAUACGUUUAUUCAUACACAUCCACACAUGAGAGCAUGAACAGAUGGGAAUCAGAAAAAGGGGACCAUCUGGAAUGUGGCUAAAAAUGGAAUGAUGCCACCUCAGGUGUCUGAAUGGGAACACUGGUGUUUGCGUGUAGGAGGAGAUAACUUGAAAUCUAGUAGCCUGGUGAAAGGAAGUUAGCAGAACUGAUAUGGACUGGGAUGGAAGAUUGUUUUACAGAUAAUUCACAUCCUAGAUGCCUUAUCAUGGCAUCCUAAGGCCUGUUAGAGAUAGAAGUUUAGGGAAAAACUUGGGUUGCCUGUACCUUUACAAUGUGAAGGAAGCAGGAAAAUAAACAUAGGCAAUCUGCCCUCCAUGCCCCUGAAUCCAUCAGCAGAGCAAAGAGACUCCUUUCUCUUGUCACUAUGGGAGAUAAGGCAUUCUAGAUCGAUAUUUGACCCAAGGUCAUUAAAAACAUAAUAAUGGGGCUGCACCCCAACAUGUUUUUCCGCCUAUCAGUGCUUCUUGUCUACCACAGAUGCUGGCUCCUCAUCCUGCAAAGUCCCACCUGUUUCAUAAAGGUUGGCCAACCUGUCAUAAGCAAUGGCUGCUUAGCCACUUGGGGAACAAAUGUUCUGUUUGUGCUGUAAUCAUGGGGAGCCUGCAUGGAGGUGGUGUCUGCCUCCAACCAGCUAACAAAGUGGUCCCUGAGGGUGGGGCCAGUUCGGGCAGGGUGUUUUAAGAAAGCCAGUGACUGGCUAGCCAGGGCUUGGCAUGAGGGGAUGCUUCUCAAGGAGCUAGUUUUCACUUGUACCAUAAUAUAUAGAAGGGUUUGUUCAUUUAUUCCCUUACUCACCCUUUCGGAGGAGUUGCAAGCUUAAAUUCCAGCAGGGAAUGGAUGUAAUAUAUGAAGCGUGGUGAAUGACGAGAGGGAGAAAAGAUUGGAUUGAGACUCAAGCUUACUUGGUACAUCGGUCAAGAAGCAGCAACCCCUCAUGUUAGACAAGGAGAACACCAAGCCCUGGCUGUGAGUGCCAGCAAAUGAGCUCAUAGCAACCCCAAGGCCAAAGUGAUAGUAAGUAUGAGGCCAGUUCGUGGAUGUCAGUGUCUUCUUUUCUCUUUCUCGGAAGUUUCCACUGUGUUUGCCUGGCUACUCCCUACGGCUCCUUCAGAUCUCAGCUUAAAUCUCCUUUCCUAAGGAUGGUCUUUCCUGAUCCACUCCCCCAAAAUAAGUAGAUCAAGUCUCUGUGUUACACAGUCCUUAUACCUUCUGCUUCUCCUUUGCAGCACUCAUCACAAUUGCCAUUGCUUAUUGUGCCGUGGGUUAUCCAAUACUUGUCUCUCCAGCUCACCUGUAAACUCCACGAGAGCAGGGACCAUGUCGGUCUUGUUCAUCCCAGGAUCCUGAGUGACUCACACUGCAACAAACACUUAGUAAAUACUCGAAAUUAGUAUUUGAUGAGUGAAUAUUGAUGAACAUGGGACAGUGAGCUUCUUGUGUGUGUGUGUUUCAUGCCUCACUUAGGUUUGUAUUCCAGGGCCUAUAAAAGUGCUUUGCACCUAGUCGGUGCUCAAUAAAUAUUUGUGUAAUGGGUUGUGAUGGUUAAUUUUAUGUGUCAACUUGACUGGGCUAUGGGAUGCCCAGCUGGUUAAAUAUUAUUUCUGGUUGUGUCUUGAGGGUGUUUCUGUAAGAGGUUAGCAUUUGAAUUGGUGAACAGAGUAAAGCAGGUGGCCCUCACCAAUGUGUGUGGGCACUGUCUUCGGUUGAGGGCCUGAAUAGAAUAAAAAGGUGGAGGAAGGUUGAAUUAACUGACUGUGUGAGCUGGGACAUUGAUCUCCUCCUGCCCUUGGCACUCCUACUUCUCAGGCCUUUGGACCUGGACUGGAGUCUAUACCAUCAGCUCUCUGGCUCUGGGGCCUUUGAACUACACCACUGGCUUUCCUGGGUCGCCAGCUUGCAGAUGACAGAUCCUGGGACUUCUCAGCCUCCACAGUUGUAGUCCCAGGUGGGUUAGAUAUUCGGCACUGUGUGGGGAAGACCUGUCUGGUAUCCUGCUUGACUUUCCAGUGUCCUGUCAGACCUUCACGUGGGUGAGAAACCCAUUUAUUAUCAUUGAGUCUGUUUUACAUAUAAACAUAGACUACAUCUUGCGUGAUUUUAGCAUACUCUGAUUUGUCUGAGAGUGCUACUUACUGUGUACAUCAGGGGAUGGUUGUGGUUAAUUUUGCUCCAAAUUUUACCAAUAGUUGUACAUCAUUUCAGAAAAAUCAUCUCACCAAUGGCAAUGCUGCUCUAGGUAUCUGAGGGGCCAAAAACAACCCCUGAAUCAGCUUGCAUUGUAGCUGUAGUAUACACAGUGGUUCUUUGUCUAGAGCCAACAUCAGACUACCUAGGUCUUCUAGCAUUUACAUAUGAAAGUGAUUUUUGAAAAUUUAUAUGUAUAUAGGUUAUAUUAUCUCUGAAUUUCAUUUCAGGGUAGUAAAGGGACCAUUACAAUAUAUUUGUUAUAAAAGGGUGAGUAGAAUGGAUCCUUGCUCCCAUUCUUCAUUCUCUCUCUUAAUGGAAUUACACAUCAACAUCUUUUGCCACGUGACUUUGCAGUACCUCCAACUAGAGUGGGUGAAGAAUGUUUCUGUGCCUCACUGAUUUGGAGCUUGACCAUGAGACUUGCUUUGGCCAAUGAAAUGUGGACACCCAAGUGGAAAUGUGUGAGUCCUGAGCCUGGUCCUCAAAAGGCACCAUGUGUUUUCACUAGUCCUCUGUGCUUCUGCCAUUUGCUGUGAGAAAAACAUGCCUCAAGUGGCCACUGCUCUCUGGAGAAUGGGGAGACGCUUGGAACAGAUCUGAGCCCACCCUGGAGCCUGGAGCCCAGCUCAUGGAGUCCCAGAUGAGCUCAGCAGAACCACAGACUCGUACAGGACGGAAUGGCAGCCCCUCUGCCUACUUCAUGGGGUAGAAAUGGGAUGUGAAAAUGCCUCUGCGUCUGCUUUUCCUUCUGCGUGGUGUGACUUUUCCUCCAGGCGGAGGCAGGUGCCCUCCUCUGUGCCAUUGCAGUGACAGAUUU
Long non-coding RNA from Equus caballus (horse), 3192 nucleotides. The record is from Ensembl. Lineage: Eukaryota; Metazoa; Chordata; Mammalia; Perissodactyla; Equidae.